This is a long non-coding RNA of Lytechinus variegatus (green sea urchin), 244 nucleotides long. RefSeq lists it as uncharacterized. The transcript is spliced from 3 exons. Lineage: Eukaryota; Metazoa; Echinodermata; Echinoidea; Temnopleuroida; Toxopneustidae. The record is from RefSeq and is a predicted model, not a curated record.
UCUUUUCUAAGUCAUUUAUUCGAAGUCCCUCAAACUCAAGGGCCCUCUCCACUUUCUUGACACUAUCGACUAAUGUCUUCACCGCCUUGUCCAUCAUCUUUUCAAAGUUACUGGUUGCCUCUUUAAGAAGGCCUGCCAGUUCUGUACCUGUAUUUCCAGCAGGCUGAGGAGGGACCUCCACGCCUGCAGGGACGGUAGUAUUGUCCUCUAGUUCAUCGUUCAACAGUUUGUAGUUUGAGCGUGU